UCAGAUCACAGUCAUUCGCUUAUUCUCUAACUUUUGCCUGGAUCGCCCCCUUUUCGGGUUUUCAAUCCAUCGGGAAACCCAUUUUUGCCUGAGCCGCCCUUUUGGGUUUUCGACUCACCGGGUGUAUUCUUUUUUUAUAUCCCUAAUUUUUGCCCGAACCUCUUUAUUCUCUUUUUUUUUGGUUCGUCGGGAUGCCCUUUUUUUGCCCGGACUAUUCUUUUUAUCGUCCAGCGGG
Molecule: long non-coding RNA, 235 nt
Filed under: Lathyrus oleraceus (garden pea)
Lineage: Eukaryota; Viridiplantae; Streptophyta; Magnoliopsida; Fabales; Fabaceae
Description: Pisum sativum (pea) long non-coding RNA (PSAT_LNC018568)
Source: RNAcentral